GAUGAAGAACGUAGCGAAAUGCGAUACGUAAUGUGAAUUGCAGAAUUCAGUGAAUCAUCGAAUCUUUGAACGCAUAUUGCGCUCUCUGGUAUUCCGGAGAGCAUGCUUGUUUGAGUAUCAGUAAACACCUCAACUCCCCUUUCUUUUUUGAAAUGGGAGCUGGACUUGAGUGAUCCCAACGCUUUUCUCACCGAAAAGUGGCGGGUUACUUGAAAUGCAGGUGCAGCUGGACUUUUCUCUGAGCUAAAAGCAUAUCUAUUUAGUCUGCCUAAAAAACAGAUUAUUACCUUUGCUGCAGCUAACAUAAAGGAGAUUAGUUCUUGUGCUGACUGAUGCAGGAUUCACAGAGACAGCUUCGGCUGGCCUUUGUAAACUCGAUCUCAAAUCAAGUAAGACUACCCGCUGAACUUAAGCAGAUCAAUAAGCGGAGGA
Molecule: unclassified non-coding RNA, 432 nt
Filed under: soil metagenome
Description: partial contains 5.8S ribosomal RNA, internal transcribed spacer 2, and large subunit ribosomal RNA
Rfam family: 5.8S ribosomal RNA (bases 1-120)
Source: RNAcentral